UGGUUCUGGCAUCGAUGAAGAACGCAGCGAAAUGCGAUAAGUAAUGUGAAUUGCAGAAUUCAGUGAAUCAUCGAAUCUUUGAACGCACAUUGCGCCCCGUGGCAUUCCGCGGGGCAUGCCUGUCCGAGCGUCAUUGUGACCAAAUCACGCCUGGCGUGGUCUUGGGGCGCGCAGCUCUGCCGCCCUCAAACGCAGUGGCAGCGCCGGGUGGCCCUUAGCGUAGUAAUACUCCUCGCUAUAGGGUCCGCCGGUCGCCCGCCAGCAACCCCUUCAUUGCGCGGUUGACCCCGGAUCAGGUAGGGAUACCCGCUGA
This 313-nucleotide unclassified non-coding RNA is filed under the name uncultured fungus. RNAcentral's name for it is "partial contains 5.8S ribosomal RNA and internal transcribed spacer 2". The stretch from base 1 to 133 matches the Rfam family "5.8S ribosomal RNA", at positions 22 to 154 of the family's 154-position model. Lineage: Eukaryota; Fungi. The record is from RNAcentral.